Molecule: ribosomal RNA, 468 nt
Filed under: uncultured bacterium
Lineage: Bacteria
Description: partial 16S ribosomal RNA
Rfam family: Bacterial small subunit ribosomal RNA
Source: RNAcentral
GACGAACGCUGGCGGCGUGCUUAACACAUGCAAGUCGAACGGAAAGGCCCUGCUUUUGUGGGGUGCUCGAGUGGCGAACGGGUGAGUAACACGUGAGUAACCUUCCCUUGACUUUGGGAUAACUUCAGGAAACUGGGGCUAAUACCGGAUAGGAGCUCCUGCUGCAUGGUGGGGGUUGGAAAGUUUCGGCGGUUGGGGAUGGACUCGCGGGUUAUCAGCUUGUUGGUGGGGUAGUGGCUUACCAAGGCUUUGGCGGGUAGCCGGCCUGAGAGGGGGACCGGGGUCAUGGGGCCUGCGGGACGGAGCAGAGUGCAACAGGAGGCAGCAGUGGGGAACAUUGUCCAGUGGGGGGACGUCUGAGACGAAGACCCCGGGUGCGGAAAGACCGUCUUGGGGUUGGAAACCGCAUUCGCCUGAGACGAAGCGGGAGUGACGGUAAUGGGAGAAGAAGCACCGGCUAACUACGUG